This 406-nucleotide ribosomal RNA is filed under the name uncultured bacterium. RNAcentral's name for it is "partial 16S ribosomal RNA". It matches the Rfam family "Bacterial small subunit ribosomal RNA", at positions 29 to 526 of the family's 1533-position model. The record is from RNAcentral.
AUUGAACGCUGGCGGCAGGCCUAACACAUGCAAGUCGAACGAGUGGCGGGAGGGUGUGUAAUGGCUGGGAAACUGCCCGAUGGAGGGGGAUCACUACUGGAAACGGUAGCUAAUACCGCAUACCAUCGGAUGUGCCCAGAUGGGAUAAGCUCGGAGGUGGGGUAACGGCUCACCUAGGCUAGGAACCCUAGCUGGUCUGAGAGGAUGACCAGCCAAUCGGGAACGGGGACACGGUCCAGACUCCUAAGGGGGGCAGCAGGGGGAAAUAUUUCACAAUGGGCGCAAGCCUGAUGCAGCCAUGCCGCGUGGAUGAUGAAGGCCUUCGGGUUUUAAAGUACUUUCAGCGAGGAGGCGUUACUCGCAGAAGAAGCAACGGCUAACUCCGUGCCAGCAGCCGCGGUAAUAC